UGUAAAUACCCUCCUUGGGUGUUUCCUCCCUAGACUUGACCGCGCCAAGGCGCGGUUUUUUUUUGCCCGGA
RNAcentral lists this small RNA (71 nucleotides) under Rhizobium sp. AN5. RNAcentral's name for it is "suhB". It matches the Rfam family "Makes More Granules Regulator RNA (mmgR)". Rfam says of the family: SuhB later renamed mmgR (makes more granules regulator) was a putative non-coding RNA found multiple times in the Agrobacterium tumefaciens genome and related alpha-proteobacteria. Other non-coding RNAs uncovered in the same analysis include: speF, ybhL, metA, and serC. Several studies inSinorhizobium meliloti showed that suhB element is indeed a non-coding RNA:firstly it was detected on Northern blot and called Sm8RNA, secondly in an RNAseq study referred to as SmelC689. The record is from RNAcentral. Lineage: Bacteria; Pseudomonadati; Pseudomonadota; Alphaproteobacteria; Hyphomicrobiales; Rhizobiaceae.